Molecule: long non-coding RNA, 209 nt
Filed under: Mytilus galloprovincialis (Mediterranean mussel)
Lineage: Eukaryota; Metazoa; Mollusca; Bivalvia; Mytilida; Mytilidae
Source: RNAcentral
GUUUCAAUAAAUUUGAAGCAUUUUGAAGUUUUUUUGUAUUUUUGCUGUUUCCAUGGUAACGGCAGCCAUUUUGGAAAUUCCAAACUCAAAAGUCAAGUCUACAUUAGCUGAGCAACAUUUGUUGUAAGUUUCAGUAAAUUUGAAGCAUUUUGAAGUUUUUUGUAUUUUUGGUGUUUCCAUGGUAACGGCGGCCAUUUUGAAUAUUCAAA